UAGCUUGCUAGAAGAUGACGAGCGGCGGACGGGUGAGUAAUGCUUGGGAACAUGCCUUUAGGUGGGGGACAACCAUUGGAAACGAUGGCUAAUACCGCAUAAUGUCUACGGACCAAAGGGGGCUUCGGCUCUCGCCUUUAGAUUGGCCCAAGUGGGAUUAGCUAGUUGGUGAGGUAAUGGCUCACCAAGGCGACGAUCCCUAGCUGGUUUGAGAGGAUGAUCAGCCACACUGGAACUGAGACACGGUCCAGACUCCUACGGGAGGCAGCAGUGGGGAAUAUUGCACAAUGGGCGCAAGCCUGAUGCAGCCAUGCCGCGUGUGUGAAGAAGGCCUUCGGGUUGUAAAGCACUUUCAGUUGUGAGGAAAGGUUAGUAGUUAAUACCUGCUAGCUGUGACGUUAACAACAGAAGAAGCACCGGCUAACUCCGUGCCAGCAGCCGCGGUAAUACGGAGGGUGCGAGCGUUAAUCGGAAUUACUGGGCGUAAAGCGUACGCAGGCGGUUUGUUAAGCGAGAUGUGAAAGCCCCGGGCUCAACCUGGGAACUGCAUUUCGAACUGGCAAGCUAGAGUGUGAUAGAGGGUGGUAGAAUUUCAGGUGUAGCGGUG
This 607-nucleotide ribosomal RNA is filed under the name Pseudoalteromonas sp. M141. RNAcentral's name for it is "bacterial SSU rRNA". It matches the Rfam family "Bacterial small subunit ribosomal RNA", at positions 76 to 683 of the family's 1533-position model. Lineage: Bacteria; Pseudomonadati; Pseudomonadota; Gammaproteobacteria; Alteromonadales; Pseudoalteromonadaceae. The record is from RNAcentral.